Molecule: ribosomal RNA, 204 nt
Filed under: uncultured bacterium
Lineage: Bacteria
Description: partial 16S ribosomal RNA
Rfam family: Bacterial small subunit ribosomal RNA
Source: RNAcentral
ACGCUCGACACCUACGGAGAGGCAGCAGUGGGGGAUAUUGCACAAUGGGGGAAACCCUGAUGCAGCAACGCCGCGUGAAGGAAGAAGGUCUUCGGAUUGUAAACUUCUGUCCUCAGGGAAGAUAAUGACGGUACCUGAGGAGGAAGCUCCGGCUAACUACGUACCACGCAGCCGCCGGUAAGUACUGAGCGGGCGUGGCAAGGC